Small nucleolar RNA from Oryzias melastigma (Indian medaka), 70 nucleotides. Its record names the gene SNORD24. It matches the Rfam family "Small nucleolar RNA SNORD24". From Rfam's summary of the family: U24 is a member of the C/D class of snoRNA which contain the C (UGAUGA) and D (CUGA) box motifs. NCBI's taxonomy places the organism in Eukaryota, Metazoa, Chordata, Actinopteri, Beloniformes, Adrianichthyidae. The record is from Ensembl.
UGCAAAUGAUGUAAACGAAUAUUUGCUAUCUGAGUGAUGCUGACGCAUUUCCACCAAGAUCGCUGAUGCA